This 486-nucleotide ribosomal RNA is filed under the name uncultured bacterium. RNAcentral's name for it is "partial 16S ribosomal RNA". It matches the Rfam family "Bacterial small subunit ribosomal RNA", at positions 30 to 507 of the family's 1533-position model. The record is from RNAcentral.
AUUGAACGCUGGCGGCAUGCCUUACACAUGCAAGUCGAACGGCAGCACGGGUGCUUGCACCUGGUGGCGAGUGGCGAACGGGUGAGUAAUACAUCGGAACAUGUCCUGUAGUGGGGGAUAGCCCGGCGAAAGCCGGAUUAAUACCGCAUACGAUCCACGGAUGAAAGCGGGGGACCUUCGGGCCUCGCGCUAUAGGGUUGGCCGAUGGCUGAUUAGCUAGUUGGUGGGGUAAAGGCCUACCAAGGCGACGAUCAGUAGCUGGUCUGAGAGGACGACCAGCCGCACUGGGACUGAGACACGGCCCAGACUCCUACGGGAGGCAGCAGUGGGGAAUUUUGGACAAUGGGCGAAAGCCUGAUCCAGCAAUGCCGCGUGUGUGAAGAAGGCCUUCGGGUUGUAAAGCACUUUUGUCCGGAAAGAAAUCCUUGGCUCUAAUACAGUCGGGGGAUGACGGUACCGGAAGAAUAAGCACCGGCUAACUACGUG